AAGAAGGAUGGAAAGAAUGGAGAGAGCAAGCAGGGGAUAGCGGAGGGGGAAAAGGGGGUUAGGAUGAAUGGUAGGGUAAGAUCGGCGAACUGCGCUCACCUUUCGUCCGACUCUUUGUUGUGUGUGUGUUUCAUUCAUUUUCCGAAUUUUUGCAUAGUAAUCCAUCACAAAGUUUGGGACAGAGUACUGCGACCGUAAUGCGAUGAGUACUGUUUUGUAUUUUCAUAUUCAGCCUUGCGCACUUUUCGUAAUAUGGGAAGUGUUUUUUCCCCUGCAUGCGGUCAUUGUCCAGUCCUAGUUGGUGAUCACAUAGAAAAGGAAAGGAAUGUGAGAUAGAUAGUCAGCUCAGCUGUUGAUGUUUUGCUGUUGUUUGCCCUGAAUCCUUCCUGCUUCUCUACACAGUCGCGGCAUAAGGACUUUCUUGUCCCCCUCCCUCUCUAUCCACUCACAAGUAUAACAGAGCCUAUAGGACAUGGGAAACUGGGAAACACAGGAGAACAAAGGUAUGGUGCACCCAAUAGCACCUCCGCUACACUACCCCGACAGAACAGACCCACUUCCCUUUUUCUCAAACAAUCGCAGCUUGGCUGUGCACUAUGGGCAGGAACAAUUCCCUUAGUAACAGCUAUGGGCCCCGGCACAGUGCACUGAGGAGCCAUCCCCAUCCGUUUGACCAAAAACCCAGGGAAAGCGUUUGUUGAGGGGGAUAUAGACUCACAUAAAUGAGUUAUAGGAGGUGUUACCAAACUUGGUUACUUAACGCUGGUAUAAUACAUUAUGAUGCGGUUAAAAUGUGUUGUAAGACUUGUCAUAAGCAUGUAUGACCUCCUUAUGAUAUGUUCUUAUCAUCUCACAAUGAUUCUGAAUAAAUAGCAGCCAUUUUGAGUCAAGUGACAGAGGGGCAUAACUUUUUAUAAGAUUUAUCAUAAGACAUUAUAAAGGCUUGUGCAUGUUUAUAACAAGUAGGCCUAAUGAAGCAUUAUACAGUAAGUAAAUAAAGUGUUACCAGUGACAAACGUCUCUAUGGUUCUUUUCUCAGACUAUCUCUCAUCACCCGGGAAGUUGAUGGAAACUUUCCGCCCCAUUCUAAAAUAUGUUAAUCCUAAUUUAAUUAGUUAUCAGAAAAUGAUCAUUCAUGAGGAUGAGGACAUCACAGCAACAUUCUGCGAAAACAUAACUUUUUUUAUUAGCAGAGCUUUUACUUCAAGACAAUUGAACACAACACAAGACAUGCUAUUAUUACAAUAUCAUAGCAUGAGC
This is a long non-coding RNA of Coregonus clupeaformis (lake whitefish), 1260 nucleotides long. RefSeq lists it as uncharacterized. NCBI's taxonomy places the organism in Eukaryota, Metazoa, Chordata, Actinopteri, Salmoniformes, Salmonidae. The record is from RefSeq and is a predicted model, not a curated record. The transcript has 3 exons.